AGAUUUGGCAUGGUAUAGUUAAGUUCCAUAUGGAACUUUUAUUAAUGGGUUGCGGAUCAAAGCUUUAAUAGAAUUCGAUCUGGUUUUCUGCCGCGGCGGUGUUUUCUGUGUGCGCAUGGUCUCCGGCGUUUGGAUCUGCGUUCAACGGCCGAACUCCUAAGAAAAAAUAGUUGCAGCACAUGAUGCAUUCAAGUAUGGUUCAUAAAGCAACGAAUGUGAAGCCUAAUUACGUGAUUUGGUUGGUGCCUCCAACAUCGAAUCGGUUAUAAAGGACCAAGAAUUUUGCAGUGUCAAUGGGAUCAAGUCGAUAAAGAGAGACGUCGAGAGGUCGUAAUAUCAAAGCGGAAAUGUAGGGAACUCCAGAAUUUGUGUUAACCAAACAGACGUCGAUGUAAUCCGAGGAAGGAUCAGGGAGGGUAAUAGCCUCCAUACAUUGGCUGUCAAGCUUCACUGUUCCCCACAAAUUGACGCCGAGGUGAAGGUCAAAAAUGGGGGUGGAGUUUAAGCCAUCAUAAUUGCCAUACACAAAGGAAGCUCUGAUGAGAUAUUUAGUCAUUUUGGGUGCCUCUGUUUUUAGACGGUAGCAGUUCCUUGUGCCAUUUGGAAAGCUUCUUAAGCUCCAGUAUAUAGGUCCCCAACGUGGACGAUAUUCUGCUAAUAUUUGGUUGCUCAUUCCAGAUCCUAUCAUGUCUUUGUCUGUUUUAUAAACCAACCCAUCCCAUUCAUUUACCAUAUCUUCGAAUCCGCCGCAGUCGAUACUAAUGAAACCUAUCAUUUCAAAAUU
Long non-coding RNA from Cucurbita moschata (crookneck pumpkin), 784 nucleotides. RefSeq lists it as uncharacterized. NCBI's taxonomy places the organism in Eukaryota, Viridiplantae, Streptophyta, Magnoliopsida, Cucurbitales, Cucurbitaceae. The transcript has 2 exons. The record is from RefSeq and is a predicted model, not a curated record.